UGCCAGCCGCCGCGGUAAUACGGAGGGACCAAGCGUUGUUCGGAAUCAUUGGGCGUAAAGCGCGUGUAGGCGGCCUGGCAAGUCGGAUGUGAAAGCCCGGGGCUCAACCCCGGAAUUGCACUCGAAACUGCCAGGCUAGAGUUUCGGAGAGGAGGGCGGAAUUCCCGGUGUAGAGGUGAAAUUCGUAGAUAUCGGGAGGAACACCAGUGGCGAAGGCGGCCCUCUGGACGAUGACUGACGCUGAGACGCGAAAGCGUGGGGAGCAAACAGGAUUAGAUA
This 279-nucleotide ribosomal RNA is filed under the name uncultured bacterium. RNAcentral describes it as "partial 16S ribosomal RNA". It matches the Rfam family "Bacterial small subunit ribosomal RNA", at positions 506 to 784 of the family's 1533-position model. The record is from RNAcentral.